Molecule: ribosomal RNA, 122 nt
Organism: Pteropus vampyrus (large flying fox)
Lineage: Eukaryota; Metazoa; Chordata; Mammalia; Chiroptera; Pteropodidae
Source: Ensembl
GUCUACAGCCAUGCUACCCUUCUGAACAAGCCCGAUCCCGUCUGGUCUCAGAAGCUAAGCAGAGUCAGGCCUGCUGAGUACUUGGAUGGGAGACCACCUAGGAAGACCAGGUGCUGUAGGCA